RNAcentral lists this ribosomal RNA (497 nucleotides) under uncultured bacterium. RNAcentral's name for it is "partial 16S ribosomal RNA". It matches the Rfam family "Bacterial small subunit ribosomal RNA", at positions 28 to 507 of the family's 1533-position model. The record is from RNAcentral.
GAUGAACGCUGGCGGCGUGCCUAAUACAUGCAAGUCGAGCGAACAGAUGAGGAGCUUGCUCCUCUGACGUUAGCGGCGGACGGGUGAGUAACACGUGGAUAACCUACCUAUAAGACUGGGAUAACUACGGGAAACCGGAGCUAAUACCGGAUAAUAUAUUGAACCGCAUGGUUCAAUAGUGAAAGACGGUUUUGCUGUCACUUAUAGGUGGAUCCGCGCCGCAUUAGCUAGUUGGUAAGGUAACGGCUUACCAAGGCAACGAUGCGUAGCCGACCUGAGAGGGUGAUCGGCCACACUGGAACUGAGACACGGUCCAGACUCCUACGGGAGGCAGCAGUAGGGAAUCUUCCGCAAUGGGCGAAAGCCUGACGGAGCAACGCCGCGUGAGUGAUGAAGGUCUUCGGAUCGUAAAACUCUGUUAUUAGGGAAGAACAAAUGUGUAAGUAACUAUGCACGUCUUGACGGUACCUAAUCAGAAAGCCACGGCUAACUACGUG